This is a non-coding RNA of Macaca mulatta (Rhesus monkey), 1466 nucleotides long. The record is from RefSeq and is a predicted model, not a curated record. Lineage: Eukaryota; Metazoa; Chordata; Mammalia; Primates; Cercopithecidae.
UGCUGGGUGUCCGUACUGAUCAAGGCCAAGGUAGAGGAGGUGUCCCAUGGGAGGCCUGCAGGUCCCAGGAGGGUGGAAUCGAAGCAGCCUGCCUGAGCCCAGGGCGGAGGCUCUCCUUCCCAACGGGGGCAGGACCCAGAGGAAGAAUGAGGCCACAGAGGCAGGUCCUGACCAGGCCCCUGGAAGGCAGCAGAGUGCUGAGAGCCUUGAGAAAGAGUGGAGGCCCCGGUGACCACAGCCUCAUGACUGCUGAGGGACAGGGCCAGAGUCUUCUUCCUAACUGCGCCCCUCUCCCUUUCUCCAUUUCCCCAUAAACCCUUGAAACAGAGGAGCCUGUGUGUGUGUGUGUCCUUGGGGCCGCCGAGAAGUGGCAGCAGAGGGUCCUGCCCUCCACAAGGCACGGGAGCAGGGACCAUGAGUGACCUGGGAACACUGGCCCCGGGCUCCCUGACUCCCUCUGUCUGCCCCGGCCUCCACUUUAAGUCACACCCAACAGUUGUGAGAUGUCGGUGUUUCUGUUGCUAGACAUUCCUGUUGCUGUGCAGCAGCUGGGGGUGGGACAAAGGACUCCCUCUUCUAAUUUUUAAAAUGCAAAGCAAACCGCAUGUGGACCCUCAGGAGGAGCUGCCUUUCCUCCUGCUCCGUGGCUCCUCCCGCUUCGUGCCUCCUCCCAUCUGACAGCUCCCCCAGCCUGCUGGGCACUGAGUCCUCUGCUGUGGGGGUUGCCGGUGCCACUUCCCCUCUCCACAGCCGUGCAGUGCCCGGCUCAGCUCAAGUUCACAGCCCUUUCAGCUGGUGUACCCGUGGACACCCGCCUGGUCACAGUGGGAUAUGCAGCUGGCAACCUGCUCCAGCCAUCCUGCAAGUCACUGUGAACGCCCUCAGGCUCCAACAGCAAAGCCACUGGUCGGAAAGAGGCUGGGCUCCUGCACACCCGCCGGCGAUGGCUGCCCUUGUCCAUCCUGUUCCCUGAAGGGGAGCGGCUGCUGGAGGGUGAAGCCGCUAAGGUUUGAGGGUGAAGCCACUGGUUUGAUCCCUCCGCCCGCAUCACAGUUGCUUCACCAGCCACAGAAGCACGGGGGAGUCAAAAAUGGGAAGGACAGAAAUGGUUCCUGACCACGCGAGCUGGAGAACAAGACGCUAGAACACAGUGCUCAAUACGGGCAUCCUGCUCUGAGAAGAUGUGGUUCCGAUUGCGGCUUCGGGGUCUCCAAAAUCUGCCCAUCAGCAGGCACCGCACGUCCAAGGCCAGGACCGCAUCCGACACCGCCACCUGCUGGUGAGUGGGAACAUGACGUCUCGGGGCCAAAUGUGAAGAACACGUUCAGGAUAUUGAGUUAGAGAAAUAUCAAACUCUUUUAAAUUCCAUCACAGCUACCAAAACCAAACUGGGGAUGUAAAGAAUUUUUCAGCACAUUGUGUACUAUUUAAAUUGCACACACACAAUAAAGGCUUGCUAGACAGCC